Molecule: ribosomal RNA, 497 nt
Filed under: uncultured bacterium
Lineage: Bacteria
Description: partial 16S ribosomal RNA
Rfam family: Bacterial small subunit ribosomal RNA
Source: RNAcentral
GAUGAACGCUGGCGGCGUGCCUAAUACAUGCAAGUCGAGCGAACAGAUGAGGAGCUUGCUCCUCUGACGUUAGCGGCGGACGGGUGAGUAACACGUGGAUAACCUACCUAUAAGACUGGGAUAACUUCGGGAAACCGGAGCUAAUACCGGAUAAUAUAUUGAACCGCAUGGUUCAAUAGUGAAAGACGGUUUUGCUGUCACUUAUAGAUGGAUCCGCGCCGCAUUAGCUAGUUGGUAAGGUAAUGGCUUACCAAGGCAACGAUGCGUAGCCGACCUGAGAGGGUGAUCGGCCACACUGGAACUGAGACACGGUCCAGACUCCUACGGGAGGCAGCAGUAGGGAAUCUUCCGCAAUGGGCGAAAGCCUGACGGAGCAACGCCGCGUGAGUGAUGAAGGUCUUCGGAUCGUAAAACUCUGUUAUUAGGGAAGAACAAAUGUGUAAGUAACUAUGCACGUCUUGACGGUACCUAAUCAGGAAGCCACGGCUAACUACGUG